ACACACACACACACACACACACACAGGUUCAGUAUAAGGAGGAGAAUCAGAGGAGCAGUGAGCAGGAGGAGGAGGAGCUCAUUCCACUGUGGAACAGACACUUGACCUGGUUUCUGGGACAAAAACAGCCUGAGAAACACUCCUACUGGGAAGGAAUCAGAUAAAAGAUUUAAAACGGGAGGCCAAGAAGAACCACACUGCAGACGGGCGCUAAGAGAAGGUCUACCUGGAGAGGUGAAAAGGAACUUUUUGGGGGUGAAGAAUAAACUUCUGCGUUUUUGCAUCUCAAAUAAAAAGAACAAAAAAGGUGACGAAAGACCCAGCCCACGUGGUCCCAGUAGGACGUGUUGUUACAACUGGAGUAUUGGUUCAACUGCAGAUACCACAUCACACCAGCAGGUGGUAGUGUUGUAUCAUUUUGUGGGAUUUAAACUAAUGUUUUUAAAUUGAAAGCCAAAAAAAUUCAAUUAUUCAAAUAACUUAUUUCCUGUAUUUUUUAAUGGGAUGAAUGCCAGAACAAUGUCAGACAGCGAUGACGGCACAAAAUGGCUUGCAGUUGAUAGACGGAAGCAUCCGAAAUCUAAAUGUGCAACACUUCUAAAAGGUCUUUACCUGGCCAGGCCGUGUGGGGCAUAUGAUGUAACGGCAGUAUGGGAGUUGUCUUAGUUAUGUAUCACUUAAAGCCCGCUUUUGAAAAUAUUAACCUACCAGUUCACAAGGAAGCAAGUAAAUUCUGCCGGGCCGCUUGAGGAGCGAGGUAGCCACCAGCAAUUCACACACGGAGGUCUGGUGUGAGCCGGGGAGCAGCGGUGAAGAAGAUGAAGAACCUUUCUACAUAGCGACUCUCAAGAUAAAAAAUCAUGGGGUUCUACAUGAGAACUAUAACUUAAAAAUAAAAAAAUGGUUUAAAAAAUAGGAAACUAAGGAAAGUAAAAGUUGAGUAAUACUUCAUAAUAAUGUUCAGUUGUUAAAUAUAAGUCAUUAGUAAGUCAUUAAUCAUACAAGGUCUUAGAUAAUGAUGAACAAAUCAUUUAUAAAAUAGUGUGAUGACAUUUACAAAUACAUUUAUAAGUGUUUAGUUAUUAACAGAUCAUUUACAAGGUAUUAGGUAAUAUAUAUAAUUUAUUUAUGAAGACUUGAGUUGACAUUUACAAAUGAUAAACUAAACAUUUACAUACAGUCUUUAACACAUUUGGUAAUGUUCAUAGAACACUUGUAACUUUCUAAAGUCACAGAAGUGCCAUUAGUCAUAUAAAAGAUUAAGACGCACCAGUCAUUUAUAAAUGAUUAACUAAACAUUUUUAAAUGAUCAUGAACUCAUUUGAUUUUUAAAAUGUAAUUUGGUGAAAGGUAAAUAAAGUCCAGACAUUUAUAAACUCUUUCAGGUUAUUUACUUAUUUUUUACUUUCUUUGAAUACAAGAGGGACUCUACAACUCGUUUAUAAACCAUUAGUUUGUCAAAGAAAGUGAAUGUAUGAAGGUUUGGACCCUUUGUGGGAAAUCCCUGAUCUGAGCCCUUCAGCCAUAGAAGAUCUACCAGGAAACAUCUGACAGAUGAACAGGCCCGUUCCAUCCUGUGUCAGAUUUCUAUCUGAUGAUCAGACACCAGAACUGAUCAGCAUCUACAAGCUCUUCACUGUAAACCUCCUGAUUCUCACCUGUCCCAGAUCACGUCAUUGUUAAAUGUUCUGCAACACCUCGUUACUUAGAAAUGUUUAACAAUCAUUUUUAGGCUUAAAAACAUGAAUAAAUGACAUUUGUACAUCUACAA
Nothobranchius furzeri (turquoise killifish) is the source of this 1771-nucleotide non-coding RNA. The record is from RefSeq and is a predicted model, not a curated record. Lineage: Eukaryota; Metazoa; Chordata; Actinopteri; Cyprinodontiformes; Nothobranchiidae.